AAGUAAAAGUCGUAACAAGGUUUCCGUAGGUGAACCUGCGGAAGGAUCAUUAUUGAAUAAACUUGAACAGGCUGUUUUGCUGGCCUCCUUGUGUGGGGGGCAUGUGCACGCUUGUCAUCUUUAUCUCUCCAACCUGUGCACAUCUUGUAGACCUGGGAAGUCAAUGAUUUCUUUCGAGUUGGGACUGCUGUGCUGUUGAAGUCAGCUUUGCCUUUGCGAUAUCUUCAGGUCUAUGUCAUUUUCACAAACUUUAUGAAUCUGUUUAGAAUGUUGAAUCAGGUCCUUUUUGUGUACCUAUAAAGUUAUAUAUACAACUUUCAGCAACGGAUCUCUUGGCUCUCGCAUCGAUGAAGAACGCAGCGAAAUGCGAUAAGUAAUGUGAAUUGCAGAAUUCAGUGAAUCAUCGAAUCUUUGAACGCAUCUUGCGCUCCUUGGUAUUCCGAGGAGCAUGCCUGUUUGAGUGUCAUUAAAGUUCCUCAACCACAUUGAUUUACUUUUCGGUGUGGCUUGGAUGUGGAUUUUGCAGGCCUUGGAAACGAGGUCUGCUCUUCUGAAAUGUAUUAGCAAGUAUCUGAGCAAGGUACAGGUGUGAUAAUUUAUCUAUGCCUUAGUAAAUGCUGCAUGAAACUGCUUAUAAUGAAAUUAUUGAUGAAUUUGACCUCAAAUCAGGUAGGACUACCCGCUGAACUUAAG
This 693-nucleotide ribosomal RNA is filed under the name uncultured Inocybe. RNAcentral describes it as "eukaryotic LSU rRNA". The stretch from base 313 to 466 matches the Rfam family "5.8S ribosomal RNA". Lineage: Eukaryota; Fungi; Basidiomycota; Agaricomycetes; Agaricales; Cortinariaceae. The record is from RNAcentral.